GUAGUCUCGCACAGAUGCAUAUCAAUAAGCGGAGGAAAAGAAACUAACAAGGAUUCCCCUAGUAACGGCGAGUGAAGCGGGAAGAGCUCAAAUUUGAAAUCUUAAAGGGUUUCCCUUUACGAAUUGUAGUUUAAAGAAGUGUUUUCUGUUGAGGUUUUGGUAAAAGUUCUUUGGAAUAGGACAUCAUAGAGGGUGAGAAUCCCGUAUUUGACCUUUACUUUCAACUUUGUGAUACACUUUCAAAGAGUCGGAUUGUUUGGGAAUGCAGUCCAAAAUGGGUGGUAAAUUUCAUCUAAAGCUAAAUAUUGGCGAGAGACCGAUAGCGAACAAGUACCGUGAGGGAAAGAUGAAAAGAACUUUGAAAAGAGAGUUAAACAGUACGUGAAAUUGUCAAAAGGGAAGCGUUUGACACCAGUGUUGUUUUUCUGAAAAUCAAUUAAAGAACUGUUUAUGCUAAGCUGUUUAGACUUUAUCAGCUAUACUGUUUAGUUUUGAGCUUUUCUUUAAUGCACUUUUCAGUUAACAAGUCAACAUCAAUUUCUUUUGCUGUAAAAAAGCUUGAGGAAGGUGGCUUGAGAUUCGUCUUAAGUGUUUAUAGCCUCUUGCCUAUGCAGUCGGAGAGAUUGAGGUCUGCAGCGUAGAUCCUUCGGGGCUAAAUGCAUUUGUGCUAAGUUAUAGCAUUUUAUAGACAACUUGUUGACUAUGAUUUGUCUUGUAGCUUACUCGCUUAUGUUAUUUUACCUACGCUUAGGAUGUUGAACUACUGAGACAUAGA
Molecule: ribosomal RNA, 775 nt
Filed under: uncultured Neocallimastigales
Lineage: Eukaryota; Fungi; Neocallimastigomycota; Neocallimastigomycetes; Neocallimastigales
Description: partial large subunit ribosomal RNA
Rfam family: Eukaryotic large subunit ribosomal RNA
Source: RNAcentral